Molecule: transfer RNA, 48 nt
Filed under: Verrucomicrobiales bacterium
Lineage: Bacteria; Pseudomonadati; Verrucomicrobiota; Verrucomicrobiia; Verrucomicrobiales
Description: tRNA-Ala
Rfam family: tRNA
About the family: Transfer RNA (tRNA) molecules are approximately 80 nucleotides in length. Their secondary structure includes four short double-helical elements and three loops (D, anti-codon, and T loops). Further hydrogen bonds mediate the characteristic L-shaped molecular structure. tRNAs have two regions of fundamental functional importance: the anti-codon, which is responsible for specific mRNA codon recognition, and the 3' end, to which the tRNAs corresponding amino acid is attached (by aminoacyl-tRNA synthetases). tRNAs cope with the degeneracy of the genetic code in two manners: having more than one tRNA (with a specific anti-codon) for a particular amino acid; and 'wobble' base-pairing, i.e. permitting non-standard base-pairing at the 3rd anti-codon position.
Source: RNAcentral
GGGGCAUUAGCUCAGUUGGUAGAGCGUCUCAAUGGCAUUGAGAAGGUC